This 448-nucleotide ribosomal RNA is filed under the name Streptococcus sp. oral taxon 070. RNAcentral describes it as "bacterial SSU rRNA". It matches the Rfam family "Bacterial small subunit ribosomal RNA", at positions 32 to 471 of the family's 1533-position model. Lineage: Bacteria; Bacillati; Bacillota; Bacilli; Lactobacillales; Streptococcaceae. The record is from RNAcentral.
AACGCUGGCGGCGUGCCUAAUACAUGCAAGUAGAACGCUGAAGCUUGGUGCUUGCACCAGCGGAUGAGUUGCGAACGGGUGAGUAACGCGUAGGUAACCUGCCUGGUAGCGGGGGAUAACUAUUGGAAACGAUAGCUAAUACCGCAUAAAAUGGAUUAUCGCAUGAUAAUUCAUUGAAAGGUGCAAAUGCAUCACUACCAGAUGGACCUGCGUUGUAUUAGCUAGUUGGUGGGGUAACGGCUCACCAAGGCGACGAUACAUAGCCGACCUGAGAGGGUGAUCGGCCACACUGGGACUGAGACACGGCCCAGACUCCUACGGGAGGCAGCAGUAGGGAAUCUUCGGCAAUGGACGGAAGUCUGACCGAGCAACGCCGCGUGAGUGAAGAAGGUUUUCGGAUCGUAAAGCUCUGUUGUAAGAGAAGAAACGAGUGUGAGAAGUGGAAAAG